AUGGAUUGGACCUGGAGAAUUCUAUUCCUGUUGGUAGUGGCUGCAGGUGUGAAUUCCCAGGUGCAGCUGGUACAGUCGGGGCCUGAGGUGGGAAAACCUGGGACAUCAGUCAAGAUCUCCUGCCAGGCGUCUGGAUACACCUUCACCAGCUAUGGGAUGUACUGGGUGCGGCAGGACCUGGGACAAGGGUUUGAGUGGAUGGGAUGGAUAAACACUAACAGUGGUGGUACAGGCUAUGCACCGAAGUUCCAGGACAGGCUCACCUUCACUGUAGACAAGUCCAAGGACACAGCCUACAUGGAACUGAGCAGGCUGAGCACUGAGGAUACGGCCGUGUAUUACUGUGCGAGA
Sorex fumeus (smoky shrew) is the source of this 351-nucleotide non-coding RNA. The record is from the annotation of a RefSeq genome assembly. NCBI's taxonomy places the organism in Eukaryota, Metazoa, Chordata, Mammalia, Eulipotyphla, Soricidae.